RNAcentral lists this ribosomal RNA (253 nucleotides) under uncultured prokaryote. RNAcentral describes it as "partial 16S ribosomal RNA". It matches the Rfam family "Bacterial small subunit ribosomal RNA", at positions 524 to 776 of the family's 1533-position model. The record is from RNAcentral.
UACGGAGGGUGCGAGCGUUAAUCGGAAUUACUGGGCGUAAAGGGUGCGUAGGUGGUUAGUUAAGUUAUCUGUGAAAUACCUGGGCUCAACCUGGGCAGGUCAGAUGAGACUGAUUGACUCGAGUAUGGGAGAGGGUAGUGGAAUUUCCGGUGUAGCGGUGAAAUGCGUAGAUAUCGGAAGGAAGACCAGUGGCGAAGGCGGAUCUCUGGACAGUUCCUGACGCUGAGGCGCGAAGGCCAGGGGAGCAAACGGG